GAGCAAUCCGCUUGAGGAGGAGCUUGCGGCAGAUUAGCUUGUUGGUAAGGUAACGGCUUACCAAGGCUACGAUCUGUAUCCGGCCUGAGAGGGCGGUCGGACACACUGACACUGAAUAACGGGUCAGACUCCUACGGGAGGCAGCAGUCGGGAAUUUUGGGCAAUGGGCGAAAGCCUGACCCAGCAACGCCGCGUGAAGGAUGAAGUAUUUCGGUAUGUAAACUUCGAAAGAAUGGGAAGAAUAAAUGACGGUACCAUUUAUAAGCUCCGGCUAACUACGUGCCAGCAGCCGCGGUAAUACGUAGGGAGCAGGCGUUGUUCGGAUUUACUGGGCGUAAAGGGCGCGUAGGCGGCGUGACAAGUCACUUGUGAAAUCUCCGGGCUUAACUCGGAAUGGUCAAGUGAUACUGUCGUGCUAGAGUGCAGAAAGGGCAACU
RNAcentral lists this ribosomal RNA (437 nucleotides) under uncultured Acidobacteriota bacterium. RNAcentral describes it as "bacterial SSU rRNA". It matches the Rfam family "Bacterial small subunit ribosomal RNA", at positions 207 to 662 of the family's 1533-position model. The record is from RNAcentral. Lineage: Bacteria; Pseudomonadati; Acidobacteriota.